Molecule: non-coding RNA, 104 nt
Filed under: Desulfobacteraceae bacterium
Lineage: Bacteria; Pseudomonadati; Thermodesulfobacteriota; Desulfobacteria; Desulfobacterales; Desulfobacteraceae
Description: SAM-I sequence
Rfam family: SAM riboswitch aptamer (S box leader)
About the family: The SAM riboswitch is found upstream of a number of genes which code for proteins involved in methionine or cysteine biosynthesis in Gram-positive bacteria. The SAM riboswitch acts at the level of transcription termination control.
Source: RNAcentral
AUACCAUGAAGAGAGACGUGAGGGAACUGGCCCUGUGACCGUCCGGCAACCUGCUUCGCAAGGUGCCAAAGCCAGCCCGAAAGGAACCAGAGGGGCCCCGGAAU